This 619-nucleotide ribosomal RNA is filed under the name uncultured bacterium. Its description in RNAcentral is "bacterial SSU rRNA". It matches the Rfam family "Bacterial small subunit ribosomal RNA", at positions 202 to 842 of the family's 1533-position model. The record is from RNAcentral.
CAAAGAAAUUCGCUCAGAGAUGGGCUCGCGUCUGAUUAGAUAGUUGGUGAGGUAACGGCUCACCAAGUCGACGAUCAGUAGCCGGACUGAGAGGUUGAACGGCCACAUUGGGACUGAGACACGGCCCAGACUCCUACGGGAGGCAGCAGUGGGGAAUAUUGCACAAUGGGGGAAACCCUGAUGCAGCGAUGCCGCGUGGAGGAAGAAGGUUUUCGGAUUGUAAACUCCUUUUAUCAGGGACGAUAAUGACGGUACCUGAAGAAAAAGCUCCGGCUAACUACGUGCCAGCAGCCGCGGUAAUACGUAGGGAGCGAGCGUUGUCCGGAAUUACUGGGUGUAAAGGGAGCGUAGGCGGGACGGCAAGUCAGAUGUGAAAACUGAGGGCUCAACCUUCAGACUGCAUUUGAAACUGCUGUUCUUGAGUGAAGUAGAGGUAAGCGGAAUUCCUAGUGUAGCGGUGAAAUGCGUAGAUAUUAGGAGGAACAUCGGUGGCGAAGGCGGCUUACUGGGCUUUUACUGACGCUGAGGCUCGAAAGCGUGGGGAGCAAACAGGAUUAGAUGCCCUGGUAGUCCACGCUGUAAACGAUGAUUACUAGGUGUGGGGGGACUGACCCCUUCC